Molecule: ribosomal RNA, 114 nt
Filed under: Lepisosteus oculatus (spotted gar)
Lineage: Eukaryota; Metazoa; Chordata; Actinopteri; Semionotiformes; Lepisosteidae
Source: RNAcentral
GUCAGCAGCCAUAUCACCCUGCAACUCACAAUUGGCAACUGACUAAAGCUAAGCAAGUGUGAGCCUGUACUUGGAUGGGAGACCUCCUGGGAAAAACUAAGGUUGCUGCUGGAA